This 1101-nucleotide ribosomal RNA is filed under the name Tursiops truncatus (common bottlenose dolphin). RNAcentral's name for it is "bacterial SSU rRNA". The stretch from base 396 to 1101 matches the Rfam family "Eukaryotic small subunit ribosomal RNA". The record is from RNAcentral. Lineage: Eukaryota; Metazoa; Chordata; Mammalia; Artiodactyla; Delphinidae.
UGGGUGGUGGUGCAUGGCCGUUCUUAGUUGGUGGAGCGAUUUGUCUGGUUAAUUCCGAUAACGAACGAGACUCUGGCAUGCUAACUAGUUACGCGACCCCCGAGCGGUCGGCGUCCCCCAACUUCUUAGAGGGACAAGUGGCGUUCAGCCACCCGAGCUUGAGCAAUAACAGGUCUGUGAUGCCCUUAGAUGUCCGGGGCUGCACGCGCGCUACACUGACUGGCUCAGCGUGUGCCUACCCUACGCCGGCAGGCGCGGGUAACCCGUUGAACCCCAUUCGUGAUGGGGAUCGGGGAUUGCAAUUAUUCCCCAUGAACGAGGAAUUCCCAGUAAGUGCGGGUCAUAAGCUUGCGUUGAUUAAGUCCCUGCCCUUUGUACACACCGCCCGUCGCUACUACCGAUUGGAUGGUUUAGUGAGGCCCUCGGAUCGGCCCNNNNNNNNNNCGGAAGGGCACCACCAGGAGUGGAGCCUGCGGCUUAAUUUGACUCAACACGGGAAACCUCACCCGGCCCGGACACGGACAGGAUUGACAGAUUGAUAGCUCUUUCUCGAUUCCGUGGGUGGUGGUGCAUGGCCGUUCUUAGUUGGUGGAGCGAUUUGUCUGGUUAAUUCCGAUAACGAACGAGACUCUGGCAUGCUAACUAGUUACGCGACCCCCGAGCGGUCGGCGUCCCCCAACUUCUUAGAGGGACAAGUGGCGUUCAGCCACCCGAGAUUGAGCAAUAACAGGUCUGUGAUGCCCUUAGAUGUCCGGGGCUGCACGCGCGCUACCCUGACUGGCUCAGCGUGUGCCUACCCUACGCCGGCAGGCGCGGGUAACCCGUUGAACCCCAUUCGUGAUGGGGAUCGGGGAUUGCAAUUAUUCCCCAUGAACGAGGAAUUCCCAGUAAGUGCGGGUCAUAAGCUUGCGUUGAUUAAGUCCCUGCCCUUUGUACACACCGCCCGUCGCUACUACCGAUUGGAUGGUUUAGUGAGGCCCUCGGAUCGGCCCCGCCGGGGUCGGCCCACGGCCCUGGCGGAGCGCUGAGAAGACGGUCGAACUUGACUAUCUAGAGGAAGUAAAAGUCGUAACAAGGUUUCCGNNNNNNNNNNUUCCGUGG